GUGAGUCAUCGAAUCUUUGAACGCACCUUGCGCCUCUCGGUAUUCCGGGAGGCACGCCUGUUCGAGCGCCAUUACACACCCCAAGCUGUGCUUGAUGUUGGACGCUGUCUGUGAAAGGACAGGUCUGGAACGCGUGGGCGCCGCCGCCGGACCACGAGCGUAGCAAGACGCAAGUCAAAUCGCUCUGUGGGCUUACUCGGUGGACGGCCGUCUGUGGAUGCUGGGUACCACCUGCGUCGACAACACCAUACCAAAGUUUGGCCUCGGAUCAGGCGGGGAUACCCGCUGAACUUAAGCAUA
RNAcentral lists this unclassified non-coding RNA (300 nucleotides) under uncultured Ochroconis. RNAcentral describes it as "sequence contains 5.8S rRNA gene, ITS2". The stretch from base 1 to 71 matches the Rfam family "5.8S ribosomal RNA", at positions 84 to 154 of the family's 154-position model. The record is from RNAcentral. Lineage: Eukaryota; Fungi; Ascomycota.